This 397-nucleotide ribosomal RNA is filed under the name uncultured bacterium. RNAcentral describes it as "bacterial SSU rRNA". It matches the Rfam family "Bacterial small subunit ribosomal RNA", at positions 774 to 1167 of the family's 1533-position model. The record is from RNAcentral.
AGUGAAUAGAUACCCGGGUAGUCCACGCCCUAAACUAUGUCGACUAGUUGUUGGGGGAGUUAAAUCCCUUAGUAAACGCAGCUAAACGCGUGAAAGUCGACCGCCUGGGGAGUACGGUCGCAAGAUUAAAACUCAAAGGAAUUGACGGGGCCCGCACAAGCGGUGGAUGAUGUGGUUUAAUUCGAUGCAGCGCGAAAAACCUUACCUACCCUUGACAUGCCAGGAACCUCGCAGAGAUGUGAGGGUGCCCGAAAGGGAACCUGGACACAGGUGCUGCAUGGCUGUCGUCAGCUCGUGUCGUGAGAUGUUGGGUUAAGUCCCGCAACGAGCGCAACCCUUGCCAUUAGUUGCUACAUUCAGUUGAGCACUCUAAUGGGACUGCCGGUGACAAACCGGA